AGUGAACGCUGGCGGUAGGCCUAACACAUGCAAGUCGAACGGCAGCACAGUAAGAGCUUGCUCUUACGGGUGGCGAGUGGCGGACGGGUGAGGAAUACAUCGGAAUCUACUUUUUCGUGGGGGAUAACGUAGGGAAACUUACGCUAAUACCGCAUACGUCCUACGGGUGAAAGCAGUGGAUCUUCGGACCUUUCGCGAUUGAAUGAGCCGAUGUCGGAUUAGCUAGUUGGUGUGGUAAAGGCCCACCAAGGCAACGAUCCGUAGCGGGUCUGAGAGGAUGAUCAGCCACACUGGAACUGAGACACGGUCCAGACUCCUACGGGAGGCAGCAGUGGGGAAUAUUGGGCAAUGGGCGAAAGCCUGAUGCAGCCAUACCGCGUGGGUGAAGAAGGCCUUCGGGUUGUAAAGCCCUUUUGUUGGGAAAGAAAAGCAGCAGGUUAAUACCCCGCUGUUCUGACGGUACCCAAAGAAUAAGCACCGGCUAACUUCGUG
RNAcentral lists this ribosomal RNA (492 nucleotides) under uncultured bacterium. RNAcentral describes it as "partial 16S ribosomal RNA". It matches the Rfam family "Bacterial small subunit ribosomal RNA", at positions 29 to 507 of the family's 1533-position model. The record is from RNAcentral.